This 1836-nucleotide long non-coding RNA is filed under the name Triticum aestivum (bread wheat). RNAcentral describes it as "long non-coding RNA (TAES_LNC007371)". Lineage: Eukaryota; Viridiplantae; Streptophyta; Magnoliopsida; Poales; Poaceae. The record is from RNAcentral.
AGCCAAUUUCUAUAUAUAAUGUAGCUACUUUUAUAUCUUUGUCAGUGAAAAAUAUUGCUUUGUUCUUUCCUGAUCCUAUUUUGUUAGCAUGCUAUUUUAUAUUUUUGGGCCUACCUUAAGAAACAUAACAUUAGUGAUGUCUUAAGCAUAUGAUGGUUUGAAUGGUUAUUAUUCACUAUGGGUGCAUGGCUAUUCUUGGGUUUGAGCCUUAGGCAUGCAACAAUGAGAUCUAAUUGCAUUGUUUGUUAACUAUUUAAACCAAAAUCAUUCAUCAAUCUUGAUCGGAAAUCUUAUCCCAAUACUUUUGAUACUGUGCUUCGAUUUUGAUAACAAAAUUUGUUUCAACUUGCCAUGUGGAAAAUCAAGUAAGAGCAUAUCCAUGUUUACUUAUUAGUUUGUUUUCUAAGAAUGGUGCGAGAUUUACAAAUUGAAAAAGUAAUUAUUGUUUGAAAAUCAUUUUUAACAAAAAAACAUUUGAAAAAUUUGUUAUGAUAUGGUUGUUUGACUGAUUGCGAUGUUGUUUUAGUGGUAGUUUUUUUCAACUGUCUAAGCAUAUAUCUAUUUUUUGUACACCAGGUGCAACGCACGGGACUUUUUGCUAGUCUCUCCCUAAUAAUAAAGCACGGAUUGGGUCUCCGGGUUCACCGUCACAAUACGCUUCUUCCCGUAAGUUUACGCUUUCACUUUGAAUUUAAAACAUAUACGCGAGGUGGUACUAAAAAACCGUUUCGUUGGCCGGUGACAAUUGUUUCCAAACCAAGUAAUGUGCAUGCGUACAACGACGUAUACAACUUGGACUGCGUACGAGAAUAAAAAUCUGCCUCCUGAUCACAUCGUGUAACAUGAGAACAAAUCGAAUCGAAAUAACUGUUGGGUAUCGGCUGCAUCAACGAGGGCAACGCGGAACAACUCCUGCUGUUGGGCGCCUGGGCCUCACGUGUCUCGGCGCCGACAGGGGAUGCAUCCUCCAGGCCGUCGAUCUCAGGCUGCCUGCUGGUAAUUCCAGACACUGCUGGCCAACACCAGACGCAAGGAGCGGCAAUGGCCGCCACUGAGCCCGGUGGUGGUUAUCAGUAGAACGAGGACGACGGAAGCCAGGCGCGGCAUCGCUGGUCCGUGCAAAGACGAUGGCGCCCAUUGGAGGGCCUUGAUCCGCCGCCCAAUCGAGCUAGCAUCGACCCCUCUUCUCCUCCACAUCUCUAGCUUGUGCUCCUUGGUGCUGCCGUUCCCGCGUAUGAGGUGGCCCGGCUUCCGGCGUUUGCCUAGGUGUUUGCCUGGCGUUCUCCUUUUCCCCUCUCUUUGUAUAACGGUGGCGUCAGACGGAGGUGCUGGCGGUGUCUGGAGCUAGGGAGACGUUAGCAGAAGGAGCGUGUGCACCUCCUGGAUGGCAGGAGCCCCUGUCCAUGCUCGGUCCUCCUCCGCUGGAACGGAAUGCGACCUCCCAAGAGAAGCGGGUCAGGCGCACCGUCUUAGGGCGAGAAGAUCUUCUUAUCUACAAUGGCGAUGCAUGAACCGACGAUGAACUGAAGCUGCGACCCAUGGGCUGGCCCUGCCUGCGUGCGUCCGCCAGAACCAGAAACAGACCAGAAAAGGGGAGCAACUAAGGCAUCCGGCUGCCUGAAACUUGCUCAGGGGGCAGCCUAUGGGCACGGCGUACAAGCUCUCUACUCUCUGUCAUCUUAUAUCUCUGAAUUUUCUUUUGCUGCAUGUGCAGGUGUAUGACAGGAACAAUAACUAGCAUGAACCUGGAGGAGUAAGAAGCAGCGACAUCUGGGUUUGCAAUGGCCAAAGAACUCAACAAUUCAUAGUUGGGUCACUUAUUUCUCCCCGGCUCGG